Molecule: ribosomal RNA, 202 nt
Filed under: uncultured bacterium
Lineage: Bacteria
Description: partial 16S ribosomal RNA
Rfam family: Bacterial small subunit ribosomal RNA
Source: RNAcentral
GAUGAACGCUGGCGGCGUGCCUAACACAUGCAAGUCGGAUGGUGGUGACCUUUCGGGGUGACCACAGUGGCGCACGGGUGAGGAACACGUAGCUGACCUGCCCUGGAGCGCGGGAUAACCCUGGGAAACGAGGGCUAAGACCGCCUACGCUCACGCGCUGUAGAGGCGCGUGAGGAAAACCUUCGGGUGCUCGUGGGGNGGG